Molecule: unclassified non-coding RNA, 209 nt
Filed under: Paraglomus occultum
Lineage: Eukaryota; Fungi; Glomeromycota; Glomeromycetes; Paraglomerales; Paraglomeraceae
Description: partial internal transcribed spacer 2
Source: RNAcentral
GUGAAUCAUCAAAUUUUUGAACGCAAAUUGCGCCGUUUUGGGAUGGCAUGUGUGUUUGAGUUCGACAUUUAACAAAUAAUGUACAUUUCGUGUGCACACGUUGAUGAGCUUUCCAAGAUUAUGCAUUAUUAUUUUUGGUGGCGCAUAAUAAACAGCGCGAUGCUUUUUGUCAGUUCUAGGUUAGUAAAAUUCUUUCGUACUUGUGUUGU